UACGGAGGGGACUAGCGUUGUUCGGAAUUACUGGGCGUAAAGGGCGCGUAGGCGGACAGUUUAGUCAGAGGUGAAAGCCCAGGGCUCAACCUUGGAAUUGCCUUUGAUACUGGCUGUCUUGAGUUCGGGAGAGGUGAGUGGAAUGCCGAGUGUAGAGGUGAAAUUCGUAGAUAUUCGGCGGAACACCAGUGGCGAAGGCGACUCACUGGCCCGAUACUGACGCUGAGGCGCGAAAGCGUGGGGAGCAAACAGG
Molecule: ribosomal RNA, 253 nt
Filed under: uncultured bacterium
Lineage: Bacteria
Description: partial 16S ribosomal RNA
Rfam family: Bacterial small subunit ribosomal RNA
Source: RNAcentral